Molecule: ribosomal RNA, 425 nt
Filed under: uncultured bacterium
Lineage: Bacteria
Description: partial 16S ribosomal RNA
Rfam family: Bacterial small subunit ribosomal RNA
Source: RNAcentral
GUGGGGAAUAUUGGGCAAUGGGCGAAAGCCUGACCCAGCAACGCCGCGUGAAGGAAGAAGGUCUUCGGAUCGUAAACUUCUAUCCUUGGUGAAGAUAAUGACGGUAGCCGAGAAGGAAGCCCCGGCUAACUACGUGCCAGCAGCCGCGGUAAUACGUAGGGGGCAAGCGUUGUCCGGAAUGAUUGGGCGUAAAGGGCGCGUAGGCGGCCUGGUAAGUCUGGAGUGAAAGUCCUGCUUUUAAGGUGGGAAUUGCUUUGGAUACUGUCGGGCUUGAGUGCAGGAGAGGUAAGUGGAAUUCCCGGUGUAGCGGUGAAAUGCGUAGAGAUCGGGAGGAACACCAGUGGCGAAGGCGACUUACUGGACUGUAACUGACGCUGAGGCGCGAAAGCGUGGGGAGCAAACAGGAUUAGAAACCCGUGUAGUCC